This 850-nucleotide ribosomal RNA is filed under the name Bradyrhizobium japonicum. Its description in RNAcentral is "bacterial SSU rRNA". It matches the Rfam family "Bacterial small subunit ribosomal RNA", at positions 47 to 873 of the family's 1533-position model. Lineage: Bacteria; Pseudomonadati; Pseudomonadota; Alphaproteobacteria; Hyphomicrobiales; Nitrobacteraceae. The record is from RNAcentral.
UUUUAAGGCGCAGACACUAUAACAUGCGACUCAGUGGGCGGUUCAAUACGCUCUCCGCGCGUACGGCCGAGUCACGCGGUGGUAACGUACCGUUUUGGUUCGGAACAGCACACGGUAAACUUGUGCUAGUGCCGGACAAGCCCUUACAGGGAAAGAUUUAUCGCGGAAAGAUCGGGCCGAGUCUGAUUAGCUAUGUGGCGAGGUUAUGACUCACCCAGGCGACCAUCACUAACUGGCCUGAUAGGAUGAUCAUUCACAUUGGGACUGAGACACGGCCCAAACUCCUACGGGAGGUUGCCGUGGUCAAUAUUGUACUAUGGGGGCAACCCUGAUCCACCCAUGCCGCGGGAGUGAUGAAUGCCCUAGGCUUGUGAAGCUCUUUUGUGUCGUUACAUAAUGUCGGUACCGCUCGAAUAAGCCCCGGUUAACUUCGUGCCACCAGCCGCGGUAAUACGGAUGCGGCUAGCGUUGCUCGUAAUCACUGCCCGUACUGGGUGUGUAAGCGGGUCUUUAAGUCAUGCGUGAAAUCCUGAAGCUCAACUCCUGAACUGCCUUUGAUACUGAACAUCUUGAGUUCCGUAGAGGUGAGUGCAACUGCCAGUGCUCAGCGUGAAAUUCUGUAUAUAUUCGCUAAGAUCACCAGCUAGCUGAGGCAGCUCACUAGGCCCGAUACUGACGUCUGAUUACACGCAAAGCAGUGGCCAGGCAAACCAUGAUUCAUAUAUCCCUGGGUAGUCCUUCUCCUGUAAUACAAAUGAAAUGGCCUCGCCGUUAAGUGAGGUCUUACUUCCCUAACUUGGGGCUGCCUUAACGGCUUUUAAUCCAUUUAACUUCCUGCGGGAAAAAACGG